UCCCUGCGUCUGCUUCGUGUUUCUUUUUCUCUCUCAUCAAUAACACAAACCCUCAUCGUUCAAAUGCAAAAUCAAAGGUCAAGGCUUGUGAAUCUCACAACAAGGCAAGAAGAAAACGUGAUCUACGGACAAAGGGCUGCCCAUCUAUCCGAACAAAAUUUCAAUCGGUCAAAUUUCGAGAUUUCAAUAUUUUGGGGGUUUUAGUCCUUGAGGUUUCGAGAUGGAUCUGAAGGCUUAAGAAUCAUGGAUAUGUUCUAGUUCUUUUUUU
Molecule: long non-coding RNA, 268 nt
Organism: Rhododendron vialii
Lineage: Eukaryota; Viridiplantae; Streptophyta; Magnoliopsida; Ericales; Ericaceae
Exons: 2
Source: RefSeq, a predicted model, not a curated record